Molecule: small RNA, 100 nt
Filed under: Arabidopsis thaliana (thale cress)
Lineage: Eukaryota; Viridiplantae; Streptophyta; Magnoliopsida; Brassicales; Brassicaceae
Description: ATSL056390
Source: RNAcentral
UCCGGUGGCCGUUGCUCGGUUAGUUCUCAGCCCCGUCGCGUAUUUUCGGUCUCUUUGGCUGUAGAAAUACCAAUCCUUCCCUCCCACGCAUGCCAUUUCU